Molecule: long non-coding RNA, 1812 nt
Filed under: Elaeis guineensis (African oil palm)
Lineage: Eukaryota; Viridiplantae; Streptophyta; Magnoliopsida; Arecales; Arecaceae
Description: long non-coding RNA (EGUI_LNC012135)
Source: RNAcentral
CAAGACAAUGAAUCUUGGGAUAGACAUAGAGUGUCAGUUGCUCAACUCCUUACUUUAUAGGUUAUAACUAUUCACAUCUUAAAAUAUUUAUACAUCACUUAAUAUAUCUAAGAACAGAGAAGAAGUACACCUCCCAUAUUUGGGAGUGUACUUAUCAAGGUAUAUCAAAAAAUACUAAAUUUUUAAAUCUAAUAGACAUCACAGCCAUUCAAAAUUAAAUAUCGUGCAGCCAACAACAAUAGAAUCUAUGGUUAUAUCUUAUUUACAAGGUUGAGUUGUGUUGAGCUGACAAUGAGCACGUUAGGCAUAGCUUGUGUUUGGCUUGUGCAUUUUUCGGGCUUGAAAACCUUGCCCGUGUUUGGCUUGUUUACUAUUCAAGCUAGCUGAAUUUUGAGCUGAACAUAUGCUGCCUGCAAACAGCUCUUUUGUUUGAUAGUCCUAGUAAUCAUAAUGCCAGGACAAGGAAGCAUGGAAGCAUCCAUCUAGUGGCGCUUACAAUCUAAUUUGUUUCAUCAAGUUGAUACUUGUUUAAAGAGUGUAGCCCUUCAAGGAUAUUAGUAGAAAAUUGGAAUUGUUGCUUAUGCUUUCCGAUUAACUGUAAUAGUGAGUAUGAUGGAUGACCAAUACAAUCGGGCAAGUUGCACUUAAAUAAGUAAACAGCUGUGAGAAGAAGAGAGUAAUUUAUCCUUGUACUAAGAUUAAAGGAAUUGGCAUUUGUGACAUUUCAAGGAAGAACAUAUGGGAGCAUGUUGUAUAAUAGUAACAUCCAGGGCAUCCAAUGAUGGCAACCACUAAUCGCACCCUUUUUUUUUUGGUACCACAUUCCAGCUGCAAGCCUUUCGAGCAAUAUGUGUUUGCUAUGUGUAUCAAAAUAUGGUCAAUCAAAGUAAAAGGGUAUGUUACAAGUAACUUUUAAGCUUUUGUUUUCAUAUAUCGGUGCCAAAGUCCUGGAAAAUGCAAUUUUAGGCAAGAAAUGUCCUGUCUUGGAUGGCAGAUGAUUGAUCAGCAAGAAGGGAAUCUAUGCUUAUUGAUUAUAUGCUAUGCAACCAGGACCAAACUGCAUAAUUUGACAAGGGGAGAAGAAAGCAAGUUUAUGACAAGAAGCUGCUUUUGUCAUUGAGGUCAGAAAGUUGCCAAAAUUAUUGGCCAAGAUUUUGGUGAACAAAAUCCCACUGUUGCUUCCUACUUUGUCGAUGUUAUUGCAUCCACUAUAUUGGAAAUGUAUGAGUAAACUUGCUGGUACAGGUAUAUUUUUUAUUCUUUUAAAUUGAAGAGGAAUUAAUGUUGCAUAUUGGGAAUGUUAUAAUUAAGCUAUGCACAGAAAUGUAAUGCAUGUUUCUUGAUGUUAUCUUGGAUAGAUUCAAACUGUAGGCUUGAUGGUCCUAUUGUCAAAGGAUGGAUGCUGGACUAGAAAAAUAACUUCACUGGAGUCAACUAAAAGCCUAUUGUCAAGAGCUUGAUCUAAUAGUUUGAUCUUUAGUCAAUACUAUAUAAUUUCUAUGUUAGUACUAAAUAUGUAGACAAACAAAAUUUUGUUACCAAGAGGCUGAUAAAAUGUAGUAUUUAAAAGAAGAAUGAUACAACAAAAGAGGUGGAUUUUGGAUUGUUAGAACUUGGGAUACCUUUAACCUCUUGCCCUUAUCAAAAAGUUUUGAUUUCCCACAAGUAUCCUCCCAAAAGAGCUCCUGAUAUUAAAAAGGGUGUCUGAGUAGUGUAGGUUCUUUUCUAGUUAUUUGCUUACAGUGGCGCUGUUAUCUAAUAUUAGCUAUGGUUUGUCAUUGUUUUCAAAUACUUUAUUGAAGGAAAAAAUUA